Molecule: long non-coding RNA, 347 nt
Filed under: Setaria viridis
Lineage: Eukaryota; Viridiplantae; Streptophyta; Magnoliopsida; Poales; Poaceae
Description: long non-coding RNA (SVIR_LNC001376)
Source: RNAcentral
GGGAAUGAGAGGAAGCAGCGGGUGGUAUGAAAAAUAAAUUAGGAUGUACAUGGACUGCCAGUUACAUAGGUAGGAAUGCAUCAGGAAACAACUUGCAGUGUCUAGCAUUGACUGCGCGUUGCACGUAGCAUUGUUGCUAUCCGGUGGUUUACAUGAACACUGCUGUGUAGACUGUUUUGGGGCUAAAGUAAGAAACUGUAGUACAGCGAAGCCCAAAGCAACAACGAAGAUGAAAUCCAAAAUCAGUUGAUGCCUUCACCUAUAUAAAAGAAAAGCCAACUUAAAAAGAAAAAGUUGGAUGGCUCACCAGAAAUAUGCUGUCUAUACUCUUGUGAUAUAUAUUUUCG